UACGGAAGCAGCAGUGGGGAAUAUUGCACAAUGGGCGAAAGCCUGAUGCAGCUAUGCCGCGUGUAUGAAGAAGGCCUUAGGGUUGUAAAGUACUUUCAUCGGGGAGGAAAAAACAAAACUAAUAAUUUUAUUUCUUGACGUUACCCGAAAAAGAAGCACCGGCUAACUCCGUGCCAGCAGCCGCGGUAAUACGGAGGGUGCUAGCGUUAAUCAGAAUUACUGGGCGUAAAGAGCACGUAGGUGGUUUUUUUAAGUCAGAUGUGAAAUCCCUGGGCUUAACCUAGGAACUGCAUUUUGAAACUGAAAUACUAGAGUAUCGUAGAGGGAGGUAGAAUUCUAGGUGUAGCGGUGAAAUGCGUAGAUAUCUGGAGGAAUACCUGUGGCGAAAGCGGCCUCCUAAACGAAUACUGACACUGAGGUGCGAAAAGCGUGGGGAGCAAACAGGGAUUAGAUACC
This 456-nucleotide ribosomal RNA is filed under the name uncultured bacterium. RNAcentral's name for it is "bacterial SSU rRNA". It matches the Rfam family "Bacterial small subunit ribosomal RNA", at positions 340 to 786 of the family's 1533-position model. The record is from RNAcentral.